UGCCUGAGCGGGGUAAAGCCAG
This 22-nucleotide small nuclear RNA is filed under the name Arabidopsis thaliana (thale cress). RNAcentral's name for it is "snRNA_05680". The record is from RNAcentral. Lineage: Eukaryota; Viridiplantae; Streptophyta; Magnoliopsida; Brassicales; Brassicaceae.